Molecule: long non-coding RNA, 1558 nt
Organism: Pseudophryne corroboree (corroboree frog)
Lineage: Eukaryota; Metazoa; Chordata; Amphibia; Anura; Myobatrachidae
Exons: 2
Source: RefSeq, a predicted model, not a curated record
CUCUGGAGGUCAGGGGCAGGUCACAUGACCAGAGACAGUUGGAGGGAUGACAGUUGGUCAGGACACAGUCUGAGGUAGCUGUGAGAGAGGAGGGCAUCUCUGGCAGUGGAAAAUUCCUGUCAGAAAAUGGAGGUGCCACUGAGAGCAGCUGACAGGCAGUGGCUGUGUGGGAAAGCCACUCAGUAAAAGUCUAUAAAGUGCUACUUCUAAUUUGCAACUGCUGCAGCGCUGGAAGCAGAGUGGGUGUCUACAUUUUUUAGACCAAGGCUCUUUCAAUUCCAAAUAACUACAGUUGGCGAAGAAAUGACUUAUUCGACAUUUAUUAAGUUCUUCUAUGCGACAUGAUGUACUUCGGGAAUAUCUAUGGCAAUUAUAUAUGGUGUCAUAAUACAUGCAUACACACACGGUAUGGUUCAAAGGUCAUUUCUUCUUUUUUUCCCAUUUAUUGAACAUUAUGUGGACGGUAUUUGCCCAUCUUAAAGAUGGCCGUUCCAGCAUCCUUUCUUGAGAAGUAAGGAAGGAUGAAUAUCUAUUACCCUUUAUUAUUUUAAAAACUAAAUUUAUGCUGUUAUGUAACUGGAAAGAUCCGAAUCAACAACGGACUUUCAAAUAUCAUAAAUUACCAUAAGAUAUUUAUUCGUUAAUUUUCGAGAUGCACAUAGUAUUUCCUGUCUAAUAGACAGUAUGUGGGGAACCCGGCUUGCGCUCCAUGAUGCGUGCCAAGAGCCGCGUCAUCGCUAUGCAGACGUCAUUUCCUCUGUUCGUGACCGCGUUACCAUGGUAACGGCACAUAACCAAGCUGUGUUCUACAAAUCGUGCCUGGGAUUUAUUGACGUCACUUCCCCUUUAUUUAGAUCGCGUUGCCAUGGUAACGGCGCGCGAUCUAUGUGCAGUAAAUAUUCACAUGUUGUAAGUUUAAGUUAUAUAGCACCUUCAUUGGUACUUUGCUGUAGAAGCCUCACCAGUAUAAUUAAUCCAUGCUGGCAGUCACCGAUGUAGGUGAAUACAUGUCCGACACCAUUCUGUGGAUAUAGUUGCCAUGGAGAUUAUCUGAAUAAAAAUCUAGAAUGCCUCAUUUCAAUGUUGCUUUUUUUUUUAUCAUCAUUGUUAAUUUAUUUAAAAUUUAUUGAUGAAUGUUUUUUUGUAAUUUUGACAAGGGUUUCUUAUCAUGUUAAAAUGGCAUUUAAUGAUGAUGUCAUAAUUAGAAAUGUUCUGAUUGGUCUCUCAGCAUAUAAAUUCCUGGUCUUUCCACUCUCUCAGUAUGUCUUGAUAAAGGCCUGUUAGGCCGAAACAUGUUGACCAGCUGAGAGUGUGGACCUUUCGUUUUACCAUUUAGGUAGGAACUGGAACUGCUUUUAGUAAAAGAAAAAAAAAAUAAUAAUAAUUUUUUUUGUUUUAUGUAUAGGAUUUUGUGAUUUUUUUCCUGUUUGUUUUUUGGAUGCAUAAGUCAAGCUGCUUCAACAUCUUAUGAACUUUUGCACACUUUUUAUUGAUUGUGCUGUGUUACACCCUGAAUGUAUUGGGCGUUUUUUUAAUAAAUAUCUUUUUAUGGAUUGAU